UAGUAAUGUGUUUCCAAAGGCUUGUGAAUUAUUACCGCUCCGCAGAGCCUGCAAUUGAUGCCAUUUUUUAGUGAUACACUCUUUGUAAUGAGCAUUAGAACUUCUGCCUCAAGAGUGGUUCCUUUCUAUCAAAGGCUGUCCGGUUCAGAGGUGCUUGAAAUGUAUUCAGUGCUGCAGAGAAAGGUAAGUUCUGUGACCAUGGGAAGCAGGGCCUUACCAGGAUGCUUUCAAAGUUGUCUAGCUUCUCUCUUCUUUUCCUAGGUUGGUUCUUUUUAAUCUGAUGCAGUGUUUUCUGUAUUCCACCUGCUAUGCUGAGAAGAAAUUUCUAAUAUUUAAAGGGCAGUUGAUAUGAUCCUUUUUGCAGGAAAGGUGGGAAAAAGAGCUGAUACUGUCAAAAGAAUCUCAGCUUGACACCACCUGAGUGACUGCAGACUUCUGCACUUCCUGAUUGUGAAAUGCAGAGCAGCUGAAUUCCAUAGAAGAGAGUAUUCCGCAGCCUGGUGUCAUCAUACACGAUGAAUACAGAGGCAUUUUUGCUGUGCAGAAGUGAUUUCUAGCAGGAAUACAAGAUCAAAUGGCAGGCCUGAGAUAUUAUUUUGAAGAAGAGUUACCCAGUUUCACAGCAGUGAAGUAGGAGAGCUGUCUUGUCACCCCACUGUGUACCUGUAGCAGCAAUUACAGUGGAGGCAUCGCUUGUGGCUUUCAUCAUAUUCACUUCGUGUCAAAGAAAGCUCUGGAAUACGACUAGGAAACAGAACUUGAGGACAAUGAUACCAGAAAGUGUGGGUUACCAGCACCUGGUUCAGCAGCGCUUCCAGCUGAUGUGUUUGUCCUGUCAGCAGAGUUGUCAGAGAAAUCUCAUGGAAGAAGAAAGAAAAGACAAGCCCAUCUUGGCAGGAGAUCCAGCUUUCAAAUCCAAGGAAAUCCCAAACAUCUGCAAGAGAAAUCAACUCGCCAAUAGUGAAAAAUAAAGGAUACAUUGCUUCGAAGACGAAGUUCAGAACCACUAUUGAAUACCUGUACAACUUUAAGCUAUGAGAAAGGCUAAACCAGGUCAGAUGAGCAGCAACAGGAUGACAGUGAUGAUCUGGCGAGGGGAUGUGUCUGAAAGUGGGCUGAAUUUGAGGAUUCCUCUGAGACAAGAGGAGAAGGAGACAUCAGAGAGAAUUCAGCCUACAAGAUUUAUCUCCCCUUUUUCCAUCCUUGCCAAAACUGUGGCUGCACCUACAUAGUCUUCACCACUGGCAUGACUCACCUAAAAUACAUCCCUGUCUACAGCAGUCAUAGACUAGUCCCAGAACCAGUAAAACUAGCAAAAUCAGGUUUCCUACAGCUCCAGGUCCAAUGAAGCUGGUUCUUAUGUUCCUCAGGAGUGUAAAGUACUAUGGCCAAACUGAAUGUGACUGAAUGCUGGAGAUCCAACCCCAGUUCCAUGCCAGAGGCUCUUCCCUGUGCAGAAGAAACACAGCUGCCCCCUCACUGUGUUCAGAUACACUGAAGAGAGCCCACUUGGGAACAGCUCCCAACGCUUUAACAGGCCUUCUGCAUAACAGGGAAGCUCAUUGGAACAUCCAUCUCUGCAGACAUCCCACCCUCCAUAGCACAGCAGAGGCCCAGUCCGCUUUACGCAUCGUGUUUUGGUUAAACCUUCUGCUCCCCUCCGAGGAAGGCCCUGACGGCUCCGCUCCUUGCCUGCGGGGCCCGAGAAGGAGCCUCCCCCGACCCCGCACUGCGGAGCCACCCGGGACGCUCGGCUCUCCGCGGUGAGAGGCACCGGGGCGCGGUGACCGGUCCGUGCGGCAUCGCUCCCGGCUUUCA
Neopsephotus bourkii (Bourke's parrot) is the source of this 1818-nucleotide long non-coding RNA. RefSeq lists it as uncharacterized. The transcript is spliced from 12 exons. NCBI's taxonomy places the organism in Eukaryota, Metazoa, Chordata, Aves, Psittaciformes, Psittacidae. The record is from RefSeq and is a predicted model, not a curated record.